UUAGGAGAGUCUUCUGUUCUCAGAAUCUAGCCCGACUUUCACUUGCCCACUGCAGUUUAACUUAGACAACUCUUUGCGUAGGACACUCGCGUGGCUGACCAUAAUCUGAUGGCCAGAUCGGUGAGGGUGGGGGAGUGCUUGCCCCAUUCCCAGAAUUCAUCACUACCUUGCGUGAUGGGAAGGAAAAGUCACUGUGGACCUACAGUCUUUGGAGAAGGUGAGUCAGAUUGCACUUGGCAGCUGCAGGGCCACAGACUCCUGCUAUCUCAACGAUGGUCUACAGCCCAGAACAGUAGCAUUUCUGGUACACCCUGGAGCCACCCUGUCCUUGGAAUCCUUAAUAAGCAUGUGGUGAUCAGUUCUGUCUUCAUUUCAGAGUUGCCGAUGGUUGGGAGAUUUAAGAUACCCAACACCCUGAGACAUGCCCUGGACCGACUAUAAACCAGAAUCCCUAACCAAACAGACGCACAGUUGUGCACAAUUACUGGGUGCAGUAUGAUAUCUUGGGACACAUACGCAGCAUGUGUUGGUGUUCUGGGUUGACUUUGAGCACCCUCAUUGAUCCCUAGUUGAUAGUGUGGACUUAGGAGGUGUGGUCAAGCUAAAGGAAGUAGGCCCCAAAGAGACGAGCUUUUAAAGUUAUACCUGGUCUCCAGCCCCUUCCCCACUCCUGAUCUUGUCUGCCUGAGGCAAGACGUGGCCUC
RNAcentral lists this long non-coding RNA (704 nucleotides) under Rattus norvegicus (Norway rat). Its description in RNAcentral is "long non-coding RNA NONRATT012245". The record is from RNAcentral. Lineage: Eukaryota; Metazoa; Chordata; Mammalia; Rodentia; Muridae.